GUUAACUGACAAAUAUUUCUGAUGAAUUAAUCAAAUUAAAUGCCAAAUUCGUCUAUGUGUUCAGGUUGCACUUAGUAAAUUCACCUGUUUCCCAAUCCACACCUCGUUUGGGGAGACUUAUAAUAUUCCUAUAUAUUUCAUUUUCUUUACGUACUGGUUCCCAAAUACAUGUAUGAUCUCUGUGUGCCAUCUCACAGAGAAAUACCUCUUUAGGGAAACAAAUGGUUGCGGCACAAUUUAAUUAUAAGGCAGACCCAGUGUGAA
RNAcentral lists this long non-coding RNA (264 nucleotides) under Mytilus galloprovincialis (Mediterranean mussel). The record is from RNAcentral. Lineage: Eukaryota; Metazoa; Mollusca; Bivalvia; Mytilida; Mytilidae.